Molecule: ribosomal RNA, 1372 nt
Filed under: uncultured bacterium
Lineage: Bacteria
Description: bacterial SSU rRNA
Rfam family: Bacterial small subunit ribosomal RNA
Source: RNAcentral
GAUGAACGCUGGCGGCGUGCCUAAUACAUGCAAGUCGAGCGAACGGACGAGAAGCUUGCUUCUCUGAUGUUAGCGGCGGACGGGUGAGUAACACGUGGAUAACCUACCUAUAAGACUGGGAUAACUUCGGGAAACCGUAGCUAAUACCGGAUAAUAUUUUGAACCGCAUGGUUCAAAAGUGAAAGACGGUCUUGCUGUCACUUAUAGAUGGAUCCGCGCUGCAUUAGCUAGUUGGUAAGGUAACGGCUUACCAAGGCAACGAUGCAUAGCCGACCUGAGAGGGUGAUCGGCCACACUGGAACUGAGACACGGUCCAGACUCCUACGGGAGGCAGCAGUAGGGAAUCUUCCGCAAUGGGCGAAAGCCUGACGGAGCAACGCCGCGUGAGUGAUGAAGGUCUUCGGAUCGUAAAACUCUGUUAUUAGGGAAGAACAUAUGUGUAAGUAACUGUGCACAUCUUGACGGUACCUAAUCAGAAAGCCACGGCUAACUACGUGCCAGCAGCCGCGGUAAUACGUAGGUGGCAAGCGUUAUCCGGAAUUAUUGGGCGUAAAGCGCGCGUAGGCGGUUUUUUAAGUCUGAUGUGAAAGCCCACGGCUCAACCGUGGAGGGUCAUUGGAAACUGGAAAACUUGAGUGCAGAAGAGGAAAGUGGAAUUCCAUGUGUAGCGGUGAAAUGCGCAGAGAUAUGGAGGAACACCAGUGGCGAAGGCGACUUUCUGGUCUGUAACUGACGCUGAUGUGCGAAAGCGUGGGGAUCAAACAGGAUUAGAUACUCUGGUAGUCCACGCCGUAAACGAUGAGUGCUAAGUGUUAGGGGGUUUCCGCCCCUUAGUGCUGCAGCUAACGCAUUAAGCACUCCGCCUGGGGAGUACGACCGCAAGGUUGAAACUCAAAGGAAUUGACGGGGACCCGCACAAGCGGUGGAGCAUGUGGUUUAAUUCGAAGCAACGCGAAGAACCUUACCAAAUCUUGACAUCCUUUGACAACUCUAGAGAUAGAGCCUUCCCCUUCGGGGGACAAAGUGACAGGUGGUGCAUGGUUGUCGUCAGCUCGUGUCGUGAGAUGUUGGGUUAAGUCCCGCAACGAGCGCAACCCUUAAGCUUAGUUGCCAUCAUUAAGUUGGGCACUCUAAGUUGACUGCCGGUGACAAACCGGAGGAAGGUGGGGAUGACGUCAAAUCAUCAUGCCCCUUAUGAUUUGGGCUACACACGUGCUACAAUGGACAAUACAAAGGGCAGCGAAACCGCGAGGUCAAGCAAAUCCCAUAAAGUUGUUCUCAGUUCGGAUUGUAGUCUGCAACUCGACUACAUGAAGCUGGAAUCGCUAGUAAUCGUAGAUCAGCAUGCUACGGUGAAUACGUUCCCGGGUCU